CGGCGCCCACUCUAUCUCACCUUCUCUUCCCCACUCAUCUACACCUUUUCUUCCCCUAUCCUCGGACCGCCUCUAAUCCGGCAAGCCCCGUGGAUCCCGGUGACUACCGGCGAGGUCCGCGCUAGAUGCGCGGUGGGGGUCACGGGAUGGAGGUAGUUGGCUGUGGAGGCGGGCGGUGGCGGGCGGAGGCCACGGCGGCGGUGACCAAAAGUUGGAUCUGGUCGAAUCUUCCCAUUGUCCUCCCCCGACUGCCUCUAAUCCGACGAGGCCCGCGGAUCCCGGCGACCGCCGACGAGGCCCGCGCUAGAUGCGCAUUUGGGGGGCACGGGAUGGAGGUAGAUGGCUGGUGAGGUGGGGCGGAGGCCGCGGCAGCGGUGAACAACAGUUGAAUCCAACCGACGAUGAGGGAAGGCGCCGCUGCUGCUGGGCUUUGAGCUCCGCCGCGCCCAUUUCGUGCUACACUGGGAAAGGAGGGGGAGCGCGCAGCUGGGGUCCCUGGCGCGGCUCGGCCUCCACGGUGGACGUUGACGCAGGACGGAGCUGUUCGACCCCGAGCGCAAGCACCACGUCGCGUGGCGACUACUCGCGACAACCGGGUGAGCCAGGUCGGCAGCGCGACGGCGACCCCCUUUUUUGACGUUGUGUGGAGGGGAUGAGAAGCAGGCGGCGGUCAUGGCGGGGCGGCAACGGCGCGUGGCCGCUGCUCGGGACGGCCGGCGACAACGCUGCUUCCCUCCCGCACCUCCAUCCCCGCUCGUCACGUGCGGAGCCCUGUGUGCAAAUCCUUCACCCCGCUCAUGCAAAGUUUGUUCAGGCAAGUUUUCUGAACGUAGAUGCAGCCAGUGUUCCCCUAGGAGUAGGCAAUUCAAUUCACAGAUGUUUGCCCUUACGCGGCUCCUUUUUGUCCCUCAUUAGCAUUUGAGUUCACAGAUGCAACUGCAGGGGGCAAGUUCGAACAGAUGCAAGUGUAGCAGAACAUUUUUUUGGAAGAG
RNAcentral lists this ribosomal RNA (992 nucleotides) under Triticum aestivum (bread wheat). RNAcentral describes it as "partial small subunit ribosomal RNA". Lineage: Eukaryota; Viridiplantae; Streptophyta; Magnoliopsida; Poales; Poaceae. The record is from RNAcentral.